Molecule: transfer RNA, 68 nt
Filed under: Marmota monax (woodchuck)
Lineage: Eukaryota; Metazoa; Chordata; Mammalia; Rodentia; Sciuridae
Description: tRNA.Val
Source: RNAcentral
GGACUGUAGCUCAGUGGUAGAGUGCUUGUCUAACAUGUGGGAAGCACUGGGUUCGAACCUCAGCACCA